This 254-nucleotide ribosomal RNA is filed under the name uncultured bacterium. RNAcentral describes it as "partial 16S ribosomal RNA". It matches the Rfam family "Bacterial small subunit ribosomal RNA", at positions 524 to 776 of the family's 1533-position model. The record is from RNAcentral.
UACGUAGGGCGCAAGCGUUGUCCGGAAUUAUUGGGCGUAAAGAGCUCGUAGGCGGUCUGUCGCGUCUGCCGUGAAAACCCGAGGCUUAACCUCGUGGCUUGCGGUGGAUACGGGCAGACUAGAGGUAGGUAGGGGAGAAUGGAAUUCCUGGUGUAGCGGUGAAAUGCGCAGAUAUCAGGAGGAACACCGGUGGCGAAGGCGGGUCUCUGGGCAACAACUGACGCUGAGGAGCGAAAGCGUGGGGAGCGAACAGG